CUGCUGCUGGUCCAUGGAUCACACAUUGAGAGCUUGAAAGAAAAGAGAGCUUCCACUGUUCUCUUCUGAGGUCCUCAAUUCAUUCAAGUUGCUGGGCCUUGUGGUGAGGAUGACUGUAAGGUGAAGAUUAUGGGCUAAUUGUCACCUGCUACACGUGGAAGGAAGAGAUGUUUGGCAUGGCACUGAUCAAUGUGUAUAUUAACUGGGAAGUUUACCUCCAGGAGAAAAGAGAAAACCAGCUGUAUGAAUGGAAUUUGGAGAAAGGGCACAACCAUCAGACGAAGUGGGAGGAAGAAACAUUAACUUCAACAGCUGUUUCUUGACCCCGGCUGUCAGUCUUCCCAAGAAUAAAUUUUGGAGAGUCCUAUUUGAAACAAAGAGGGAGUUUUUGAGGAGAGAAAAGUUGGUUGGUUCCAGGGAGGCCGCCCAAAGAAGCAGGGAACAAGAUGUUUGCAGUUACCACGCAGCCUGCAAGCCUCUGCCGGGUGCAGGGAUGGAGCAAAGUAACUUGAAAGCUCCCCUCUCGGCGCCCUGUGCCUGCAGCUUCCCCCCCUAACGUGCGCCCAGAUCCAGCGCCGGUGGUAAGAGCCGUAGCUCGACUACAGUAAUUCCCCAGCUCGGGCGGCUUGAAACUGCUCGGGCUGAAUAGCAUUUGCUGUUCCGUCCUGCGACCGCCUCCCGCCGCCGCUGCCGCGCUCCCUGCAAAGCAGCUCUCAUUAUCCCGGAAGUUGUGCUGACACAGUCUCGCUGCCACCAGAAGUUUGUCAACAUCAAACUUCUCCUGUGUGGGGUACGUUCACCUUCUACGAGUAUUUAAUCGAGCCAACAAGCAAACAAACAAACCCAAAUAAA
Molecule: non-coding RNA, 852 nt
Organism: Leptonychotes weddellii (Weddell seal)
Lineage: Eukaryota; Metazoa; Chordata; Mammalia; Carnivora; Phocidae
Source: RefSeq, a predicted model, not a curated record